Molecule: ribosomal RNA, 1480 nt
Filed under: human metagenome
Description: bacterial LSU rRNA
Rfam family: Bacterial large subunit ribosomal RNA
Source: RNAcentral
GCCAAUCAAACUUGGAGAUAGCUCGUACUCCCCGAAAGGCAUUUAGGUGCCGCGUGCGACGAUUUCCAUAAGAGGUAGAGCGACCGAUAGGUCAAGAGGGCUUCACCGCCUAUCGAGACCUGACGAACUCCGAAUGCUUACGCUUUGCAGUCGUGCAGUAAGGGGGCGGGUGCUAAGGUCCGUCCCCGAGAGGAGAAGAAUCCAGACCGCCGUCUAAGGUCCCGAAAUUCUGUCUAAGUUAGUCUAACGAAGUCUGGUCCCCGUGACAGCUAGGAUGUUGGCUUGGAAGCAGCCAUUCAUUCAAAGAGUGCGUAACAGCUCACUAGUCGAGGGUCCGGGCAUGGAUAAUAAUCGGGUAUAAGUCAGAUACCGAAGGCGCGGGAUAGUAAUGUAUAUUAAAAGUAUCGGUAGGGGAGCAUUCCAUCGGCGUUGAAUGGUGAGGGUAACCGAUCCUGGAGCUUAUGGAAAAGCAAAUGUAGGUAUAAGUAACGAUAAAAAGGGUGAGAUUCCCUUUCGCCGAAAGACCGAGGUUUCCCGGGCGAUGCCAAUCAGCCCGGGGUUAGUCGGGUCCUAAGUCUCAGCCGAACGGCGAAGGCGAUGGCAGAUGCGGUUAAUAUUCCGCAACUCGCAUAUACAGUGAUGUGGAGACGGAGCAGUGACACUGCCGCGCCCUGACGGAAUAGGGCGUUUAAGUGCGUAGGCUAUGAGGAAGGCAGGCAAAUCCACCUUCCGAGCUGAACCAUGAAAGUACAGGUAAUCCUUCGGGAUAACUUGAGUGCAGGUAAUCAUACUUCCGAGAAAAUCCGCUAAACUUAAUGUAUAUGCGACCCGUACCGCAAACGGACACACGUGGUCGGGUAGAAUAUACUAAGGCGUUGAGAGAUUCAUGGUUAAGGAACUAGGCAAAUUGACCCCGUAACUUCGGGAUAAGGGGUCCUCAUUUUUAAUGAGGCGCAGAGAAUAGGUCCAGGCAACUGUUUAACAAAAACACAGGGCUGUGCAAACUCGAAAGAUGACGUAUACAGCCUGACACCUGCCCGGUGCCGGAAGGUUAAGAGGAGAUGUCACCAGCAAUGGGAAGCAUUGAAUUGAAGCCCCGGUAAACGGCGGCCGUAACUAUAACGGUCCUAAGGUAGCGAAAUUCCUUGUCGGGUAAGUUCCGACCUGCACGAAUGGUGUAAUGAUCUGGACGCUGUCUCAAUCAUGAUCUCAGUGAAAUUGUAGUAUCGGUGAAGAUGCCGAUUACCCGCGAUGGGACGAAAAGACCCCGUGAACCUUUACUACAGCUUAGCAUUGACCUUGGUCAUCCGAUGUGUAGGAUAGGCCGGAGGCUUCGAAGCGGGUGCGCCAGCAUUCGUGGAGCCAUCCUUGAAAUACGGCCCUUUGGCUGUCUGAGGUCUAACGCGCAGUUUGCGCGGACACUGCUUGGUGGGUAGUUUGACUGGGGUGGUCGCCUCCAAAAGCGUAACGGAGGCUUCCA